GCGCGGCCACGUCCUCGCAGCGGAAGGAGAGGUCGCCGUGCAGAGUGACCCCAGGGACACGCCUCUCCGCCAGGGCUGUGGGCGGCAGCCAAGCGGAUGUGGAGAACAGCGUGGCGGUGAGGUGAGGGGCUGAAGAGGGGCCGUUAGUCGAUGUCAGUGACGCCAGGCAGAAAACUAAUGGCUACUCCAUCCAUGAACAGCACUGUGCUUCGGGAAGAGGGAUUUCUCAGGACGGAUGUGGUGGACCUCUGUGAGAGAUGUGCCGCUGCUGCGACCACUGGAUUGCUGACCUGCGAGCUGCCAUGCUCUGCUGCCUGGAGUCUGGAUUGAGUAACG
Molecule: long non-coding RNA, 336 nt
Organism: Alosa alosa (allis shad)
Lineage: Eukaryota; Metazoa; Chordata; Actinopteri; Clupeiformes; Clupeidae
Exons: 3
Source: RefSeq, a predicted model, not a curated record